Molecule: RNA transcript, 2748 nt
Organism: Rhineura floridana
Lineage: Eukaryota; Metazoa; Chordata; Lepidosauria; Squamata; Rhineuridae
Gene name: mitochondrial amidoxime reducing component 2-like
Exons: 7
Source: RefSeq, a predicted model, not a curated record
AUGGCUAUUUGACCCUGAAUGCUCCCGAAAUGAAGCCACUGAGGAUUCCUGUUGAACAACCUAGAACAAAUCCAGUUUGGUAUUGCAGUUUGGAGUCCACAGUCAAGGUAGAGAUUGUGGAGAUGAGGCAGCACAAUGCAUCACCACCUUCCUGAAUGCAGAGCCUUACCGAUUGGUCCACUAUGAAUCAAACAUGAUGACGAGGAAGCCAAGAGAUUUCUUGCCUGAUUUUCAACCUGCAGAUGAGGUUGCUUAUGCUGAAGCUGGUCCAAUAUUGCUCAUAUCCAAAGCUUCCUUGGAAGAUCUGAAUAGCUGGCUAGAAAAGAAAAUUGCAAAGGCAAACUUUCGGCCAAGCAUUAUUGUUACAGGUUCUGGUCCGUAUGAGGAAGAUGCUUGGGGUGAACUUUUAAUUGGGAAUGUGGAGUUGAAAAGAAGAAUGUCUUGUCCCAGGUGUGUUGUAACAACAAUUGAUCCAGACACUGGUCUCAUGGAUAGGAAAGAACCACUGGAAACACUGAAAAGCUAUCGCAAGUGUGACCCUUCUGAACAACAUGACUAUAAAUCUUCUCCUCCCUUUGGAUCACUAUAUGGAAUUGGUAAAACUGGAAUGGUAGAAGUUGGAGACCCCGUGUACAAGAUAAUCUAGUGAUGGUGUCUGCAGUGAAGCACACUUGUUCAGUUUAUGUGCAAAUAGAUCUGUACACAUUUUGUCAAGAUACCCUUUUCACAUUUGCUUUUCCUAUGAAGUCUUUAACUGGAUCUUGUAAAGAGAGAUGGGUAAUUUCAGAACACUUGGGCCACUUAUGUGCCUUUAUCGCUUUGUUUCAGUUCAGGAGCUGGUAUGGAUGGGGCUAUGAGACACAGGCCCUGAAUCUUUUUUUAAGUGCCCAAAGUGUUUCUGGGUUGAUAAUGAAUUUAGGAGAAACUGACUAGGAGACCUGGGACAAAAUAAUAAUUUGGGGAAAUAAAUUAAUAUUAAUUUAGAUAUGAUAUGGGGGUAAUUGCAAGGGGAGCUAAGUUGAUUUAGAGCAAGAUCUGCUGUUAAAUUAAUUGAAGAGAAAGUGAUUUGAGGUGAAAUUUUAGUAUCAUCCGAGAUUAUUUGGAUAGGAAACCAUUAGGCUUCUCUUCUCUGACAUUUUACAUUCUUAAUUUGUACCUACACAUAUAAAAUAACAUACAAAUAUGUGUCUAUGGGCCCAUACCCAGAAUCUUUUAAGUACAUAGCAAUGUCCCUGCCUCAUGCAAAAGCUAAAAUAUUCCUGGGAUAUGCUUUGCCCAAUCAUAAAGAAGCACAUCUAAGUAAGAUGAGUGUUGCCAUUUCGAUUUCCCAGAAUGGCUAGUGUAAAAUUAAAGAAACUGGGAUUUUAAUAUAAAAUUAAGAUAACAGAAAAUAUUUAUAAUAUACCGGUCACUUGUUGCUAAACUAUACACUAUACACAGUGAUCAGUGAUGACUGUCUAGUGUACCAACGUUGUGCAAAAUGCACAGAUUUUAUUGAAAACAAUUGAAUAAGAAAUCCCCCUUCAGUUUGGGGUAGGGAGAUGCUCCUUUAGUCCUCUGCACUACAGCUAAGACUCUUACAUCAGAUUCUGAACUGUGCUUCAAUGCAAGGUGCUUUAUGGGUAGGUGCAUCAAAAUAAUCAUGUGCUAUAGAAAUUAUUUCAAUUUAAUCCCCACCCUUCACCAUAAGGUCCCAGGGUUGACAAUUUAAAAUACAGUAUUACAGGCGAUUUAAAACAAAUUUCAGUCACAAUAAUAGGGUGGGUCCUAAAAAUUUAUACCUCAGAAUUGCUAAUCCAUCUACUUGUAUUUCAUGACUGUAUACCCUGUGCCAGCAUAUUAUGUUAGCCUAAAGCUGAUCAAUAUGUAUUUGUUAGCUAAGUUAGCCUGAAGGCUUGUAUCCUUUUCAGGCCUUGGCAUAAUAGAACAGACGUAAAGUUAAAAGUUUGAUUUGCCUGAAAGCUUGUAUUCCCUUUCUAGGCCCCAGCAUCCUUGAGUAUGCCAGAUCACCUCAUAGCCACCUGCAGUAUCUAGGUGUUCUAAUGAAAAUAUGAUGGCUUGCCAGUAUGCUGGGAAUGUAUCUUGUUAGUAUGAAGGAGUUUCAAUUAGGCAGAGGUUCAAGAAUAUUUACUAGUAGAUGUUUUAUAGCUGGGGUGAUACUGGAAAGUACCUUGUUAUACAUCAGAGAGUCCUGAUAGGCAUAGAUUCAAUGGAUGGGUCGAAGGACGGUCAAUGCACAGAUAAUGCAGGAGUUGCGUGUUAGUGCACAAGCCAAGUAACGGUCAAUGAUAAACUAUGCUUGUUAGUAGAGAUGAAGAUAAAGAUGAUAGCUAUGAGGUUUGCCAAGGGAGGAUACUAAGGUGCACCUGGAACGAUACUAUAGUUUUGAGCAAUUAGUUUGCUUUGAAGAUGUUCUGCGAAAAGAGCAGAACAGCCAAUUAUAUGUCAUAAUAUGUUAUUUCAAAGUGUAUGCUCUCAUUAAUCAUAUAUGUAACUGCAUGUGUAUGCCAAUAAUAUGUGCCAAGAUUUAUGCUAUAUAAACCUGAUCUGUGCCCAGUAUGGGUGUUCAGUCUCUGAUGUCCGCUACUGCAGAGCGGUGGGACUGAUCCACUUUUAUUGGGAAUACUUGGCUGAAUGCUUAUCCUUUGUUGAAAGUAUCAAACAGUUGAUUGAAGUGGAAGAAAUUUUGCAGUCUUCAGUGGGUUGGCAAGAGAUACUGUUUGUUCCAACUUAUCUUCCUGGGCAUCU